RNAcentral lists this unclassified non-coding RNA (221 nucleotides) under Hevea brasiliensis (rubber tree). The record is from RNAcentral. Lineage: Eukaryota; Viridiplantae; Streptophyta; Magnoliopsida; Malpighiales; Euphorbiaceae.
AUCGGAGAGUAUACGGACGAUGAUAGGGUGGGGCUCUUGUGGUUGCAUAGGGCUAAUAAAUAAUGGGGGCCGAUUCAGGAAAGGGUUGAUGGGUUUCUGUAAUAAAAUAUGAAAUCGCUGAACCAAGAAGGACCCACUUGCCGUUUGAGGAGUUGGCGGAGAAGAUCUGAGGACGAAGUAAUCUUUUCCAGGGACAAGUUGACGGAAAGUGAUUUUUAGGU